GAGUAACGCGUGAGUAACCUGCCUUUCAGAGGGGGAUAACGUUCUGAAAAGAAACGCUAAUACCGCAUGAGACUACAGAGCUGCAUGGCUCAGUGGUCAAAGGAGCAAUCCGCUGAAAGAUGGACUCGCGUCCGAUUAGAUAGUAGGCGGGGUAACGGCCCACCUAGUCGACGAUCGGUAGCCGGACUGAGAGGUUGAACGGCCACAUUGGGACUGAGACACGGCCCAGACUCCUACGGGAGGCAGCAUG
RNAcentral lists this ribosomal RNA (250 nucleotides) under uncultured bacterium. RNAcentral's name for it is "partial 16S ribosomal RNA". It matches the Rfam family "Bacterial small subunit ribosomal RNA", at positions 108 to 353 of the family's 1533-position model. The record is from RNAcentral.